GUCUUACCCUUAGCUGCGACGGCGAGAACUCUGUCGGCGGCCUCGCGAACGGCUCGGCCGCGUCGUGGGGUGGAAGAGGAAGCGGAGGAGUUGGCGGCGGCGGUGGAGGAGUCGGGUGCCGAGUUAAUGGAGACUUGGGUGAGGGCGUGGAGGAGCUUGGAGGAGUAGAGGUGCUGCUGGGCCUCGGACUUCCACUUGGCGUGGCUGUGGGCGGGUUCUUGGUGGUGGAGGUGGUCCUGCUUGGGCUGGAUUUUCUUCUUCUUUUUCCUUCUAGAAGAAUCCCGAGCUCGAUC
This 293-nucleotide long non-coding RNA is filed under the name Malus domestica (apple). RNAcentral's name for it is "long non-coding RNA (MDOM_LNC016183)". The record is from RNAcentral. Lineage: Eukaryota; Viridiplantae; Streptophyta; Magnoliopsida; Rosales; Rosaceae.